RNAcentral lists this ribosomal RNA (492 nucleotides) under uncultured bacterium. RNAcentral describes it as "partial 16S ribosomal RNA". It matches the Rfam family "Bacterial small subunit ribosomal RNA", at positions 29 to 507 of the family's 1533-position model. The record is from RNAcentral.
AGUGAACGCUGGCGGUAGGCCUAACACAUGCAAGUCGAACGGCAGCACAGUAAGAGCUUGCUCUUACGGGUGGCGAGUGGCGGAAGGGUGCGGAAUACACCGGAAUCUACUUUUUCGUGGGGGAUAACGUAGGGAAACUUACGCUAAUACCGCAUACGACCUACGGGUGAAAGCAGGGGAUCUUCGGACCUUGCGCGAUUGAAUGAGCCGAUGUCGGAUUAGGUAGUUGGCGGGGUAAAGGCCCACCAAGGCGACGAUCCGUAGCUGGUCUGAGAGGAUGAUCAGCCACACUGGAACUGAGACACGGUCCAGACUCCUACGGGAGGCAGCAGUGGGGAAUAUUGGACAAUGGGCGCAAGCCUGAUCCAGCCAUACCGCGUGGGUGAAGAAGGCCUUCGGGUUGUAAAGCCCUUUUGUUGGGAAAGAAAAGCAGCAGGUUAAUACCCCGCUGUUCUGACGGUACCCAAAGAAUAAGCACCGGCUAACUUCGUG